UGUCAGGAUGGCCGAGUGGUCUAAGGCGCCAGACUCAAGUUCUGGUCUUCGAAAGAGGGCGUGGGUUCAAAUCCCACUUCUGACAUUA
RNAcentral lists this transfer RNA (88 nucleotides) under Helianthus annuus (common sunflower). RNAcentral's name for it is "tRNA-Leu". It matches the Rfam family "tRNA". From Rfam's summary of the family: Transfer RNA (tRNA) molecules are approximately 80 nucleotides in length. The record is from RNAcentral. Lineage: Eukaryota; Viridiplantae; Streptophyta; Magnoliopsida; Asterales; Asteraceae.